Molecule: long non-coding RNA, 619 nt
Organism: Rhea pennata
Lineage: Eukaryota; Metazoa; Chordata; Aves; Rheiformes; Rheidae
Exons: 2
Source: RefSeq, a predicted model, not a curated record
UAUGAUGACAGGGUUCCUGACUAGAGCUAGAGGAAACAGCCCUGUUCUUAUUUUCCAAUAGCAGUGCUAGUAUCAGAAUACAGUGUGCUGAAAAUAACUUAUGCAUCUGGCAUGAAAUAUGUGGGAGAAGGGGGGACCCUGACCUUGAAUUGCACCAUCAGGCAUCCACAGGAUCAGUCUUCACAACUGGAGGCCCACUGGUAUAAAAAAAGCAAGGAACCAAAACAAUGAGAUGGGAUUUGGACAGGAGUUGGAAUGCCUGCAACUUUUGCACUGCCAAGACCUCAGCACCAGCGUCGUGUCAUUUCUGCUCCUCAAAAUCCAGAGCAUCAACCAAUCCCACAGCGGAUGAUACUAAUGCAGUGCCAAAAUGAUGAAUACUGCCCUAGCAGCUGUGGGCCACUUUAUUAGAGAGAAUGUAACAGCUUUGUAUAUAUAAGCUUUGUAUAUAUAAGAGCUUUCUUGAAGAGAGAUUUGAGAAAGUGCAUAAUUGUCUCUGAAGUGAAAUUUCUAUGUGAAAAAGACUGUGUUCAUGAAGGUGUAUCACCUUCUCCUAGGGUGUGAAACUAAAAAUGAUUGUUGGCACACUGUGACGGAGGAAUAAAUUUCAUAUUCCGCU